CGUCAAGUCAUCAUGGCCCUUACGACCAGGGCUACACACGUGCUACAAUGGCGCAUACAAAGAGAAGCGACCUCGCGAGAGCAAGCGGACCUCAUAAAGUGCGUCGUAGUCCGGAUUGGAGUCUGCAACUCGACUCCAUGAAGUCGGAAUCGCUAGUAAUCGUGGAUCAGAAUGCCACGGUGAAUACGUUCCCGGGCCUUGUACACACCGCCCGUCACACCAUGGGAGUGGGUUGCAAAAGAAGUAGGUAGCUUAACCUUCGGGAGGGCGCUUACCACUUUGUGAUUCAUGACUGGGGUGAAGUCGUAACAAGGUAACCGUAGGGGAACCUGCGGUUGGA
Molecule: ribosomal RNA, 340 nt
Filed under: Escherichia coli
Lineage: Bacteria; Pseudomonadati; Pseudomonadota; Gammaproteobacteria; Enterobacterales; Enterobacteriaceae
Also listed under: 1 other name
Description: bacterial SSU rRNA
Rfam family: Bacterial small subunit ribosomal RNA
Source: RNAcentral